GAUGAACGCUAGCGGGAGGCCUAACACAUGCAAGCCGAGCGGUAGAGAUCUUUCGGGAUCUUGAGAGCGGCGUACGGGUGCGGAACACGUGUGCAACCUGCCUUUAUCAGGGGGAUAGCCUUUCGAAAGGAAGAUUAAUACCCCAUAAUAUACUGGAUGGCAUCAUCUGGUAUUGAAAACUCCGGUGGAUAGAGAUGGGCACGCGCAAGAUUAGAUAGUUGGUAGGGUAACGGCCUACCAAGUCAGUGAUCUUUAGGGGGCCUGAGAGGGUGAUCCCCCACACUGGUACUGAGACACGGACCAGACUCCUACGGGAGGCAGCAGUGAGGAAUAUUGGACAAUGGGUGAGAGCCUGAUCCAGCCAUCCCGCGUGAAGGACGACGGCCCUAUGGGUUGUAAACUUCUUUUGUAUAGGGAUAAACCUUUCCACGUGUGGAAAGCUGAAGGUACUAUACGAAUAAGCACCGGCUAACUCCGUGCCAGCCGCCGCCGUAACAC
This 498-nucleotide ribosomal RNA is filed under the name uncultured bacterium. Its description in RNAcentral is "bacterial SSU rRNA". It matches the Rfam family "Bacterial small subunit ribosomal RNA", at positions 28 to 526 of the family's 1533-position model. The record is from RNAcentral.